Triticum urartu is the source of this 124-nucleotide non-coding RNA. The record is from Rfam. Lineage: Eukaryota; Viridiplantae; Streptophyta; Magnoliopsida; Poales; Poaceae.
GUACUACUCCCUCCAUCCGAAAAUACUUGUCCUUCAAAUGGUUGUAUCUGGACUUAUUUUAGUUAUAGAUACAUUUAUUUUAUCCAUUUCAAGAACAAGUAUUCCCGGACGGUGGGAGUACUAC